Long non-coding RNA from Homo sapiens (human), 490 nucleotides. Ensembl annotates it as ST20 antisense RNA 1. Its record names the gene ST20-AS1. The record is from Ensembl. Lineage: Eukaryota; Metazoa; Chordata; Mammalia; Primates; Hominidae.
AAAAUGCCCAGACCAGCAUCCGAAAGCUGGUCUCCUAUACAAAGCAGAAUCCCUGCCUACAAAGCAGUUUCCCACCUCCGACUCCUCCCCACGGCGAACAGCCCUUCUGGAUCCAACCAACCCACCAACCCCAAUAGGGCCCAGCACCCAGAGGGUCCACAAUCCAGAGAAGGAGCUACAAGCCCUGUACUUGCAAGCCUCGAACCCCCAACUCCAACUGACCUCCCCUCUGCCAGAGCAAGACCACGAGUACCCGCCGAGAGCGGACCUGGCUGGCUACACAAAGCCAGGCGCCCGACCAGAGGGAUCCUCCGGGACGUCCUCCGCCACCGGGGCGUCCCCGCCCAGCCCCGCCCGGCGCCCGGCGCUCACCAGCUCUCCUCCCCCUCCUCCUAGCCUGACAGACGCUCCAGGUCGUCUAGCAAGCCGCCCUCCCCCGCCGCCAGCAAGAAGGUGGCGUCUCGCAGCUCCUCGUUAUUCGUCCGCCUCG